CUGCAUUCUUCCUGUUCUAAAACUGUGCCAGGGCAUAACCACUCUGUCUUCACCAAAGAGUACACAAAAAUCAACCAGGACUCUGCACCCACCCUGGCUGUGGAUUAUCAGGAGACAUGGGAACCAUCACGAAGAAGAUUCAUAGGCUGAAAAUGUAAACCCUGAAAGGCUGUUUUGUUUGAGUUAAUGAAGAUGUGAUUUUGUAGUCUCCUCUUCCCCAUCUCACCUCUGCCCUGAGAAAAUGGCAGACCCUGAAAUUUAUGGGAAUUCUGACCUAAAGGGCCAGGAAGUGCAGGAGACUGAAGAAGGAUGUUACAAUGGAAGUGUCCACUAAAUACCAAGAUGCCAUAGAUGUGACAUUCUGAGUGGUGGCCCCCUCAUGGUGACUGUUUGCAGAAUGGAGAACAGUUUUCUGAUUCAUGACCCUUUAUCCCAGAAGCAGCUGUUCAACUAUGUCCUGGAUGCUCUUGGAUGAAUUAGAAGCAGGUGGUGGAGUGGGGGGAGGAUCCAGCAGAAGGUGCACUGACUGUGUGGUUCAGCUUGCUGUGACUGAAGACAGGCUUAGCCCCUGAUCUGAGGAGACAAGGGCCACCCCGGUGGUUCAGGCUGAACAAUUUCAUACUAAUUCCUGAAACCCAUACACAUGCUACCUUACAAGGCAAAAGGGACUGUGCUGAUGAGACUGAGAUUUCGAGAUGUGAAGAUUAACCUGGUGAGAAAUGGAAUAGUUCCCACCAUAUCAGUAAACAAGGAUGUCACCGUCAUCAGUGAUUUCAGCCCUCUAACGUAAGCCGGUGAGCCUUAAGGGCACCCAGGAAGGAGCAGACAUCAGACUGCAGCCACCCUCUACCGUGAGCCCCAAGGGAGCUUCGGAUGUGAAAACACAGGUUACUAUCCCAGGAGAGCUGAGAUGCGUAUGAAAGGAAUGAUUUCAGUAUGCCCAGACUCUUGCAUCCUCCCAUACAUAGAAACGUGCUAAAUUCCUUAACCUGGGAUAUCUGGUUUUCCUUAAUUAACAAUAAUUUUUUGAUAUUCAGGCUACCUGCCCUUUGUGGUGAAACUUCUAUACAACCUGGCUCCUCCCCUCGCCUCCUUAUAGCAGUUCUCUCAGGGUUACUUGAGAUGCUGUCUACUGGGCUUGAAGUCCCCCACAUUCUCACCGAAUAAAAUAUAACUCUCAACUUUUAGGUUGUGAAUAUUCUUUAAGUUGACACUGGAUUAUCCAGGUGGGCUCAAUGUACUGGGUUCUUACAAGAGGGAAGCAAGAGGAUCAAAGUCAGAAAAAGGAGAUGUGACCACAGAAGCCAAAGGUGGAGUGAUGCGUUUUGCAAAUGGACGGAGGCAAAAAACCUCUAGAAGCUGGGAAAGACAAGAAAAUGGAUUCUCCUCUAGAGCCUCCAAAAAGAUACACAGCCCUGUUGACGUCUUGAUUUAACCCAGGAGGCGAGACAGAUUUUGGACAUCUGAUCACCAGGACUUAAGAUAGUUAAUCUGUUUUUUCAAAGGCACUAUGUUGGUAGUGAUUACAGAAUCAAUAGGAAAACAAUGCACCUGGUUUAAAGUGUAACAGAAAACUUCCUAUUCAGGAAACCCUAGUAAUUCUCAGAAUUUUUCCUAAAGAGUCUCUACAUUACAAAAGACCCCUCUCUACCAGGUCUGAAGAUGGGAAAGCAAGUUUGACAAUAUCUCCCUCUAGAACCUGUGAGCAAUUUGCAAACAUAGCACAUUACUGUGUGGUAUAUCUGGACAAGAGUCCACAUUAAAUAACAAAGAUUUUUAUAUCAUCUAUUCUAUUUUCCUAAAUAUCCCCUCUCCAUCUAAAUGAAUAAUUGAGUACUUACUCCGUCAC
Cervus elaphus (red deer) is the source of this 1849-nucleotide long non-coding RNA. RefSeq lists it as uncharacterized. NCBI's taxonomy places the organism in Eukaryota, Metazoa, Chordata, Mammalia, Artiodactyla, Cervidae. The record is from RefSeq and is a predicted model, not a curated record. The transcript is spliced from 4 exons.